This 1651-nucleotide unclassified non-coding RNA is filed under the name Hevea brasiliensis (rubber tree). The record is from RNAcentral. Lineage: Eukaryota; Viridiplantae; Streptophyta; Magnoliopsida; Malpighiales; Euphorbiaceae.
AAAUAUAAUUUGCGUAUUGCGAAUCAAAUUGAGGUUCCAACUAAGUCUACUGCUUAUGUACCUUAUAUUUCAUUAACUAGUGUAUCGCAUAUGUAUACAUGCAGCAAGACUCAAGAGUACCACGUUCAUUAGGUAACUAUGGGCCAAUCAUGGGAUUUUGCUAAUGCAGUAUGAAUUAUGAAAAUGAAGAGAAGAAAAUUUUGAAGCAGCAAAAGCCUGGAUUGUUAAUACAUCAAAGAAUGGUGUGAAAUUUUUAAUUCAAACAAGCUCAGAACAAGCAUGGAGAAUUAAAAAAAAAAAAAUGAAAAAAGGAUUACAAAGGAGCAAACUAACUGCAACUAAGCGAUAAGUUGUAGACUUGUAGUCAAUGAGGAUAAUAGCAAAGUAAGCAACUCUAGCUUCAUUAUAGCAAAAAAAACUCUCUAGCCAAAAUAAAUUAACCAAAUGAUACUUUUUUGAAAAGUUGAAUUAAGCAGGUUUCAAUCCUUCCAAGUUCCAACUUAUGCAUUUUACAACGUCCCAGGAUUUUCAUAAAUUUUCAAUAUUCUAAAACUUAAGGAUCAAGACUAGGUUUUCUCUAACAGGAAAAGAACAGUGCAACAAACAAAAAAGAAAAUCCAAUAACUCUUUUUUAUCAAGAUUCAAGCAUGUUUGAACUUUUGGAAUAUAAGAAUUUCAUUUUAGCAUGGCAAAAAUUUUUGGUAAAUUUGAUAGAAAUUCAUGAGGUAUUAUAAUUCUGUCCUUAGCAAUUUUCUAUUUAGGAUUUUUGUUGGUUUGCUAUUUUCUUAUCAAUGAAAAUUGGAGUAUUGUUCAAGUUUUUUUCCGAAUUUUCUCACAUUGGAUAGGAGUUUUUUAUGUUUACAUAUUAUCAUUACAAUAUUUUCUAUUUUGUGGUUAUCUUUUGUGCCUACAUAAGAUCAUCCAUUUUAUGUUGUUACAUCCUAUUUAAGAAUUAAGAAUGCAGAAAUGUUCCUUCUAAUUUCCUCUAAAUAUUUCGUAAUAAAAAUACAGCAUAGAUAAGAAAGAAGAAUGUGAUGAGUCAUCCUAACUUAACACACAAACAAAAUAAAUAAAUAAUCUACACAUUAUAAACCUUCCAAAGACUUCUAUGUCUAACAAGGCACCCCAUUUAAAAAACCAUCUGUUGAACAUAAUGAUGCUAGGUAAACAAUUUAGUCUAAAAAGUUUUACUCCCAAUUUCCUACAAAAUUCAUGGCACUUCUCUUUAACCAAAUACGCCAAAAAACCACAAAUUAAAACACCAAAACUACUUGACCUCUAUUUACAAUCCACAACUCCUGAAUUCAGUGGGUAGCAGAUUCUAAAAGAUUUUAUGGGCACACCCAUUUCACGUCAAAAUACCAAAAAUUCCAUUCUAAAUGUACCAAGAGGCUCAAUAGUUCAAGAAAAGACGAUUAGUAGACUCACUACCACAAUAACAUAUAAGUGAAACAAAUUUCUCCUUUAUUCGCUUCUUUUUCCUUCUCUUUUUUUUUCUUUGACCAUUUGUGCAUUGUUUGUUUGUGUUUCCUUUGCUUUACCUGUGAUUACGUGCUUUUAUUUACCAAUGGAAUUGAUGCGAUGAGUGGUGUUUUUAUUGGAUCUCAAUUAGAAGUCAUAAGCCAAUGUGGUAAUGUACCAAGUUAUGGUA